This 332-nucleotide long non-coding RNA is filed under the name Mytilus galloprovincialis (Mediterranean mussel). Lineage: Eukaryota; Metazoa; Mollusca; Bivalvia; Mytilida; Mytilidae. The record is from RNAcentral.
AUAACACUUCAUUAAUUGUAUCCACCAAUCAGCAUGUGGUUUAAGCUUACCCUGUUGGUGUACGCGAUUAAUGAUCUUAUUGUAUUACUGUUCGCCAAAUUGUAUGGAUAUGUGACUGAGUGUGUGUUUGUCGUACGAUGACCUAUAGUUGUUAAGAGUUGCCUCAUUUGCAAUAAUACCACAUCUUCUUUUUUUAUAAAUACGACUAAAAUUAAUUUAAGUUUUUGAAAUAUGACUAUUCAUAUUGUAAAAUUUAGAUUUAUGUGCGUAGCUCUCUGUCGUAGCUUUUAUGUAAUUGUUAUAUGUGCUUUGAUAUUUAUGCUUUUUUAUUU